Molecule: long non-coding RNA, 661 nt
Organism: Dicentrarchus labrax (European seabass)
Lineage: Eukaryota; Metazoa; Chordata; Actinopteri; Moronidae
Exons: 3
Source: RefSeq, a predicted model, not a curated record
UAUGAGCACAUUUUAGCUCAUGCUAGCUCGCUAACAAGCUAGCCAAUUAACAAAAUGCCAUAUGACAGACAUACAUUAAAAUAACAAUUUAACUCUGGAAUUCUAGUUUAGCAUCUCACCAAAUGCAACCUUACAUUGGUUUAGUUUUAAUGGCAUUUUUUUUUUUUUUUUUGUUAACAAUUCAUUGUAUGGGCAGCAGAGCUCCUGGUAGCAAGGUAAGGUGACCUUAAAAAUUGUGUUGGUGGUUUACAAGUUUGGGACCAUAAGUUUUUUAACAGCUUAGUUAAAAACAGUGUCAUUAGCUUGUAUUUAAGCUGCAGGCCAGCAGCUAAUGGUAAGCUAGUUAAGUGACUUUUUUUUUUUAUGCUAGCGAGUGAGUGAGUGGGCGACCAAGAGUGAGGGAGCUCCGUCAGGACAGACUGCGCUGAUCACUCAGAACUGAGUCAGCAUUUGCAAAGGAAUAUAGCUCUGUGUGUCUUCCAUACAUUUGUGAGCUUGAGGACUGGACAGUCUGCAUUUGUUUGUGGCUCUUCAGUAGUGCAUUAUGAAUGUGGAAGUGUAAAGAGUGUGCUGCAGAGGAAACGACAAGGUAUCAGUUAUUGAAGCACUAUAGGUUAAAACAUGGCCACUUUGGCCGCAAACACCCUUAUCCAUGCACAUA